RNAcentral lists this ribosomal RNA (545 nucleotides) under uncultured bacterium. RNAcentral's name for it is "bacterial SSU rRNA". It matches the Rfam family "Bacterial small subunit ribosomal RNA", at positions 338 to 917 of the family's 1533-position model. The record is from RNAcentral.
CCUACGGGAGGCAGCAGUAAGGAAUAUUGGUCAAUGGACGCAAGUCUGAACCAGCCAUGCCGCGUGAAGGAUGAAGGCCCUCUGGGUUGUAAAUCCUUUCUGGGGACGAAAAGGCGAUCCGAAUACGGUCUGUAUUGACGUAACCCAAGAAAAGCCCGGCUAACUCCGUGCCAGCAGCCGCGGUAAUACGUAGGUGCUAGCUUAAUCGAAAUUACUGGCGUAAACGGGCGCCUAUGCGUUGGGUUACGUCUGCUAAAUCCCCGGCUCAACCUGGAAUGGCGGAAACGGGCUGACUGGGUAUGGAUAGGUGAUGAAUUCCCGUGUAGCAAUGAAUUGGUUGAGAUGUGGAGAACACCGAUAGCAACCAUCCCCUGACAAUACUGACGCUCAUGCACCAAGCGUGGGACCAAAAGAUUAAUUCCCUGGCUAGUCCACCCCUAAACGAUUAAACUAUGUGUUGGGGAAGAACUUCCUAGUACCAACUACACGUUAAUCCUCGCUGUGGGAGUCCGUCGCUAAGGUUCAAACUCAAAGGAAUUGAUCGG